AUGAUAUUUGUUAUUCAUUUAAAAACAACAUUUUAUCACGAUGGACAAAAAGAACCAAUCAAUAAUCAAUAAGCUGAUCCAUGUGUGGCGAAACAUGAGUAACCCAUUGGUGGUUUUUAUGGCUCUCAUCUCCCACCUAAAUCACACUUAAUACCCUCUUAACACCAACCCAUUUCCUUAAUUCCCGAGACAUGUGAAUGCUUUAAUAACCAAAACCUCCACAACCAUUAUACAUAUCUUGUUCUACACCCUCACAACACCCCUCACGAACACACCUACUGUUUAAACAACCAAGAAACAUCCCGUUUGAAGUUCUCCGGAACCGUUCUGUCACUCUCGAAAACUCUCACCCACUCCCUCGUUAAUUUACGGCUGCCAGAGAUCGGAGUUCCAGAAACCUUGAGUCGCCGGAACCUUCAAGACUUCGCCGGAGAACGGAGAAGACGACCGGAGACCCACGACGUUCGUUUACGUGUUCGUGUGUUCGACAUUGGAGACCUUCGCUGGAACUGGGUUCGCAUCGGGCUUAACUGUUUGGCCACGUUUCGCGUCUGUCUCUUUUCCACUCAAUAAACGUUGCACCUACAAGACGAAGCCAAGGCCGGAACUCAUACCAUCGGUGUAGACUCACUCGCUUUGUGUUCGGUUGAGGAUGAUGAUGCUAUGAAAUGAAGUAGCGUUGAUGCCUAGAAACACAUAUAGACGUUUAGGUUUAAUCGUUGUAUCAAUUAUGAUUAUGUUGUAUUGUAUUUCCCUUGAACUUGAUGUUAUUUGAUUUCCUUGUAAUGUUGACAAAUGAAUUAUGAAAUGAAAUCGGU
This 818-nucleotide long non-coding RNA is filed under the name Helianthus annuus (common sunflower). The record is from RNAcentral. Lineage: Eukaryota; Viridiplantae; Streptophyta; Magnoliopsida; Asterales; Asteraceae.